RNAcentral lists this ribosomal RNA (253 nucleotides) under uncultured bacterium. Its description in RNAcentral is "partial 16S ribosomal RNA". It matches the Rfam family "Bacterial small subunit ribosomal RNA", at positions 524 to 776 of the family's 1533-position model. The record is from RNAcentral.
UACAGAGGUGGCAAGCGUUGUUCGGAAUUACUGGGCGUAAAGGGCGCGUAGGCGGCCCUCUAAGUCGAACGUGAAAUCCCUGGGCUCAACCCAGGAACUGCGUCCGAGACUGGGGGGCUAGAAUCCGGGAGAGGGAUGUGGAAUUCCAGGUGUAGCGGUGAAAUGCGUAGAUAUCUGGAGGAACAUCGGUGGCGAAGGCGGCAUCCUGGACCGGUAUUGACGCUGAGGCGCGAAAGCCAGGGGAGCAAACGGG